This 484-nucleotide ribosomal RNA is filed under the name uncultured bacterium. RNAcentral's name for it is "partial 16S ribosomal RNA". It matches the Rfam family "Bacterial small subunit ribosomal RNA", at positions 29 to 507 of the family's 1533-position model. The record is from RNAcentral.
AUUGAACGCUGGCGGCAUGCUUUACACAUGCAAGUCGAACGGCAGCGCGGGCUUCGGCCUGGCGGCGAGUGGCGAACGGGUGAGUAAUACAUCGGAACGUGCCCAGUAGUGGGGGAUAGCUCGGCGAAAGCCGGAUUAAUACCGCAUACGACCUGAGGGUGAAAGCGGGGGAUCUUCGGACCUCGCGCUAUUGGAGCGGCCGAUGGCAGAUUAGCUAGUUGGUGGGGUAAAGGCCUACCAAGGCGACGAUCUGUAGCUGGUCUGAGAGGACGACCAGCCACACUGGGACUGAGACACGGCCCAGACUCCUACGGGAGGCAGCAGUGGGGAAUUUUGGACAAAGGGCGAAAGCCUGAUCCAGCAAUGCCGCGUGUGUGAUGAAGGCCUUCGGGUUGUAAAGCACUUUUGGCGGGAACGAAAAGGACUGUGCCAAUACCACGGUUCGAUGGCGGUACCCGCAGAAUAAGCACCGGCUAACUACGUG